RNAcentral lists this ribosomal RNA (253 nucleotides) under uncultured bacterium. RNAcentral describes it as "partial 16S ribosomal RNA". It matches the Rfam family "Bacterial small subunit ribosomal RNA", at positions 524 to 776 of the family's 1533-position model. The record is from RNAcentral.
GACGAACCGUCCAACCGUUAUUCGGAAUCACUGGGCUUACAGAGUUCGUAGGCGGUCUGGAAAGUUGGGUGUGAAAUCCCUCGGCUCAACCGAGGAACUGCGCUUGAAACUACCAGACUCGAGGGAGAUAGAGGAAAGCGGAACUGAUGGUGGAGCGGUGAAAUGCGUUGAUAUCAUCAGGAACACCGGUGGCGAAGGCGGCUUUCUGGGUCUUACCUGACGCUGAGGAACGAAAGCCAGGGGAGCGAACGGG